UCUACGCGAGGCUCUGCAUGGCACCGUGGGAGCCCACGUGUCCAGAACUAGACCCACGCAGGAGGACAAACACACGGUCCUCCGACGCUUUGCUAGCAUUUGCUUUUCCUCCAGGUUGUCAGCCUGGUCCGGCCUCCGCUCGGCACGUGUUGCCGAGCGGAGUCCCCGGCGGAGCAGCUAGCCGCGGAGCUAGGUUCCUUUGGCACAGCAGCAGAACAUGGGGGUUCUGAGGAAGCUUCCUACAGUCGGCCUUACCUGCAUUUCCUCCGCCUGGCUGAAUGAAACCUCCGCUCGACCAGUUCUCUUCUCCUCCUGGACCUCCCUUUGACUUUCUGUGCAGCUGUUCAGCCCUGCUUCAAAACAGCAGAUGCUCAGAUGUGUCUGCUGCUUUAACCUUGUAGAGCAUCGGAUGGAGACUUUAAUCUGACGUGGCGUUCGCUUGUCCUUUCUGAGAGACUACCUGUUAAGAAAAUGACUGUGAGGAAGUGGUCACAGGAAGCCGAAGAAGCCCUUGGAGCUGCGUCUCGAAGGCGGCGCGAGGCCCACCCAGGCGUUUGGCACAGCUGAAUGUUUGCCUCAGGAGAAUAAAGCGUUUCUCAAACAUGCGUGAAAGAAUCAAAGCAACACUCAGGUUAAUUUCUUGAUGAAGGAAUGACAUUAUAGCAUGAUUUUACAUAACACUGUCCCUUCAGAAGCUCCAUUUUGUGUUUACUUGUGUUGUCUGUGAUUAAUCUUUAAAUUGGUUUGAUGUUCUGAAACAAUGAAGCGUGUAAAAAAACCAUGCAAAACAAAAUGGAAGUCAGCGCAUUCAUGUCCCAAUACAAACAUUAUAAACCUCCAUUUGGACGUCCCUCUCUGUCCAAAGAUUGUUUUUCUCACGCGUUUGCACCAAACGUUUCUCUUAAGUUGACAACUUUGAGAUGGCCUCGUUUACUAGCAGUUUGCCUGUGUGAGGAAAACGCUGGAAUUUUACCAGGAAAAGUCGGAUCGGUACCUCCGAUCUGACCUGGAGUGAUACUUGUGUGUUGUGCAGAUGGUCUUAUACAAAACAAACAUCCAGGACGGCAGCGGUGAGUGUCACUGGCCCUCAAAUAUGCCCCCUGCCAUCGACAAACAUCCUCUUCUGAAGAGUGCAGUCGCUGAUCUGAGGGGCCCCGCUUAGCUCCUCUCCUCUCUGACCUCAGUGGAGGCAGGCAGCUGGUUACACAACAGGACUGUUUGAGCAUGGAACCAAGAUAAAAUCAUUAAAAAUGAGUUAAUGCAUCACUAUGGAGGAUUGACUAAUGCAGAAUAUAACGUGAAAUUCUCAAAGUCAUAAUUUUGUCAUUAAAUCGGUUAGGGCUGUUCUAAAUGAAUAUUUUAUCUAUCGAUUAUUCUCACGAUUAAUAGAGUAAUCGGCUAAAAGAAAGAUAAAAUAAAACAUUGGUAAAUCUAACAUAACAGCAGUAUUACGGUACUAUCGCAUAUCAA
Xiphophorus maculatus (southern platyfish) is the source of this 1470-nucleotide long non-coding RNA. RefSeq lists it as uncharacterized. The record is from RefSeq and is a predicted model, not a curated record. The transcript has 3 exons. Lineage: Eukaryota; Metazoa; Chordata; Actinopteri; Cyprinodontiformes; Poeciliidae.